GAGUUUGAUCCUGGCUCAGAACGAACGCUGGCGGCGUGCUUAACACAUGCAAGUCGAACGUGAUUGAGAGCUUGCUCUCAUGAAAGUGGCGCACGGGUGAGUAACACGUGGAUAAUCUGCCUGGCGAUUCGGGAUAACACUUCGAAAGGGGUGCUAAUACCGGAUAAGCCCACGGUCUCUUCGGAGAGUGCGGGAAAAGGGGGCCUCUGUAUAUGCUCCUGUCGCUAGAUGAGUCCGCGGCCCAUUAGCUAGUUGGCAGGGUAAUGGCCUACCAAGGCGACGAUGGGUAGCGGGUCUGAGAGGAUGAUCCGCCACACUGGAACUGAAACACGGACCAGACUCCUACGGGAGGCAGCAGUGAGGAAUAUUGGACAAUGGGCGCAAGCCUGAUCCAGCGACGCCGCGUGAGUGAUGAAGGCCUUUGGGUCGUAAAGCUCUGUCAGCAGGGAAGAACGGCCGUGCGGUUAAUACCCGUGCGGAUUGACGGUACCUGCAGAGGAAGCACCGGCUAACUCCGUGCCAGCAGCCGCGGUAAUACC
Molecule: ribosomal RNA, 539 nt
Filed under: uncultured Geobacter sp.
Lineage: Bacteria; Pseudomonadati; Thermodesulfobacteriota; Desulfuromonadia; Geobacterales; Geobacteraceae
Description: bacterial SSU rRNA
Rfam family: Bacterial small subunit ribosomal RNA
Source: RNAcentral